Molecule: ribosomal RNA, 258 nt
Filed under: uncultured bacterium
Lineage: Bacteria
Description: partial 16S ribosomal RNA
Rfam family: Bacterial small subunit ribosomal RNA
Source: RNAcentral
UACGUAGGUGACAAGCGUUGUCCGGAUUUAUUGGGCGUAAAGAGCGUGUAGGCGGCUAAAUAGGUCCGUUGUGAAAACUCGAGGCUCAACCUCGAGAUGCCGAUGGAAACCAUUUGGCUAGAGUCCGGAAGAGGAGAGUGGAAUUCCCGGUGUAGCGGUGAAAAUGCGCAGAUAUCGGGGAGGAACACCAGUGGCGAAGGCGGCGAUCUGGGAAGAUACUGACGCUGAGGGUGCGAAAAACGUGGGGGAGCGAACAGG